UCCUGGCUAGCUCAGUAGAUAGAGCAUAUGACUCUUGAUCUCAGGGUUGUGAGUUCAAGCCUCAUGUUGGGCG
This 73-nucleotide transfer RNA is filed under the name Ailuropoda melanoleuca (giant panda). It matches the Rfam family "tRNA". Rfam says of the family: Transfer RNA (tRNA) molecules are approximately 80 nucleotides in length. Their secondary structure includes four short double-helical elements and three loops (D, anti-codon, and T loops). Lineage: Eukaryota; Metazoa; Chordata; Mammalia; Carnivora; Ursidae. The record is from Rfam by way of RNAcentral.